UACGUAGGGUGCGAGCGUUGUCCGGAAUUACUGGGCGUAAAGCGUGCGUAGGCGGUUUGUUAAGUCCGUUGUGAAAGCCCUGGGCUCAACCUGGGAAUUGCAGUGGAUACUGGCGAGCUGGAGUGCGGUAGAGGAUGGUGGAAUUCCCGGUGUAGCGGUGAAAUGCGUAGAGAUCGGGAGGAACACCCGUGGCGAAGGCGGCCAUCUGGACCAGCACUGACGCUGAGGCACGAAAGCGUGGGGAGCAAACAGG
This 253-nucleotide ribosomal RNA is filed under the name uncultured bacterium. RNAcentral's name for it is "partial 16S ribosomal RNA". It matches the Rfam family "Bacterial small subunit ribosomal RNA", at positions 524 to 776 of the family's 1533-position model. The record is from RNAcentral.